GUUUGGUCCCCAGAGGACAUCUGGCAAUGUCUGGAGACAUUUUUGGUUGUCACAACUAGGGGGGUGUUACUGGCAUCUGGUUGGUGCAGGCCAGGGAUGCUGCUACAUGUCCUACAGUGCACAGGACAGCCCCCC
Long non-coding RNA from Myotis brandtii (Brandt's bat), 135 nucleotides. RefSeq lists it as uncharacterized. The transcript has 4 exons. The record is from RefSeq and is a predicted model, not a curated record. NCBI's taxonomy places the organism in Eukaryota, Metazoa, Chordata, Mammalia, Chiroptera, Vespertilionidae.